AUACGUAGGGUGCGAGCGUUGUCCGGAAUUACUGGGCGUAAAGAGCUCGUAGGUGGUUUGUCGCGUCGUCUGUGAAAUUCCGGGGCUUAACUCCGGGCGUGCAGGCGAUACGGGCAUAACUUGAGUACUGUAGGGGGGACUGGAAUUCCUGGUGUAGCGGUGAAAUGCGCAGAUAUCAGGAGGAACACCGGUGGCGAAGGCGGGUCUCUGGGCAGUAACUGACGCUGAGGAGCGAAAGCAUGGGUAGCGAACAGGAUUAGAUACCCUGGUAGUCCAUGCCGUAAACGGUGGGCGCUAGGUGUAGGGGUCUUCCACGACUUCCGUGCCGUAGCUAACGCAUUAAGCGCCCCGCCUGGGGAGUACGGCCGCAAGGCUAAAACUCAAAUGAAUUGACGGGG
RNAcentral lists this ribosomal RNA (398 nucleotides) under uncultured bacterium. RNAcentral's name for it is "partial 16S ribosomal RNA". It matches the Rfam family "Bacterial small subunit ribosomal RNA", at positions 523 to 918 of the family's 1533-position model. The record is from RNAcentral.